AUGGAGGCGACGGCGGUUAGCUUGGGCAAGGCUGUGCUCGACGGUGCGCUGGGCUAUGCUAAGUCCAAGGCGGCAGAGGAAAUCGCGCUGCAGCUCGGUGUCGAGCGCAAUGUGAACUUCAUCAAGGACGAGCUGCAGAUGAUGCAGUCGUUCCUGAUGACAGCCGAUGAGGAGCAAAGCCACAAUAAGGUGCUCACCACCUGGGUGAAACAGAUUGGGGUCCUGGCCUAUAAGGUGGAGGAUAGCCUCAUGGAUUUCGGCCUCCACUCGGAGAAAAAACCAUUCUUGGGCUGCAUCCCCCGCAACCCAGGUGAUCGACGCCGCAUUGCCAAGGAGGUGAAGGAGCUGAGGGCCGAGGUGGAGGAUGUGAGCAACAGGAAUCUGCGCUAUCGCCUCAUCAAGGAGAGUUCAGGCUCCAAGCCUACCACGGCAGAGGAGCAGGCCAGCAUUGCCACUGCAACACUGUUUGGCAUCAACGAAGCAAGGCUUGCUGCCUUGGAGCACGAAAAACCAUCAGAGGUGGACCUCCGCCAGCUGAUUACCAGCAACAAUGUGGGCCUUAGGGUGAUCGCUGUUUGGGGAACUAACAGUGAUCUCGGGAAGACGUCAGCCAUCCAGGAGGUUUAUGAUGACCCGAAGGUAUUGAAAAGGUUUGGAUUCCGUGCUUGGAUUAGGCUGAUGCAUCCUUUCAAUCCACAGGAGUUCCUCCAGAGCUUAGUAAGGCAAUUUUAUGAAAAUUUCUAUGAUGAGGUUGGAAAGCCAUCUGUCAAUUCACAAGAGUUCCUCCAGAGCUUGCUAAGGCAAUUAAAUGAAAAUUCCCAUGAUGAGGUUGGAAAGGCAGAACAAGAAACAAGUGUUGGGGCUGUUCUGGCAAAGAUGGAGAAGAUGGAUCAAAGUGAUUUGGUCUGCGUGUUUAAUGCACAGUUGUGUAGCAGUAGCUACCUGGUUGUAAUAAAUGACCUGUCCACAAUAGAAGAGUGGCAUUGCAUUAAGAAGUACUUUCCCAACAACAAGAAACAAAGUAGAAUCGUUGUUUCCACACAGCAAGUUGAAAUUGCAAGCCUGUGUACAGAGAAACCAUACCAAGUUUCGGGGUUCAAGCAGUUGUCAUGUGAUCAAACUAUUUAUUUGUUCCACAAGAAGAAUUCAGAGGAGCGGGUCAGCAUGGGUUGUGUUAGUGUGACAUUGUUUGACACCAAUGAAGCAAGGCUUGCUUCUAUGGAGAAGCAGAAACUGAAGGUUAUGCAUGAAUCAUGUUCUGCAGAGCCCAUUUCCAACUCAAACAAUGUUACUACUACUGAGAAAAACAGAGCAAUGCUCACCACUGAAAUACAGGAGCAAGACCAAGUACCUAACAAUCCAGAUGAAGAAAAAGUUCAUAACCCAACUGCAAGAAAGAAGUUUGAUCGCAGCAGGACACUAGCACUGGCUGGUGAAGUACUCUGUGGGCGAGAAACAGAGAAAUCUAUUCUUCUCAAAUUAGUUGGACAACCAGACAACAAUCAAGGCUGUAAGGUGAUCUCAGUUUGGGGAAUGGGGGGUCUUGGAAAAACCACUCUUGUCCGAAGCAUCUACCGAAGUCAACAGCUUGGUGACUGGAAACGCGCAUGGGCCACAGCAUUUCGUCCUUUCAACCCUGAAGUGCUCCUUAGAGAUUUGGUUUUGCAGCUUCAGAAUACUAUUCAAGAAGAUCCUGCUGGAUCAACAUCAACUGGAGCAGAAAAGAAAAGCAUAUCAGUGAUGAAACUUCAAGACUUGAAGGAUGAGUUAGCUCGGUUACUAAAAUUGAAAAUGUGCCUUGUUGUUCUUGAUGAUAUAUCGUCCACUUCUGAAUGGAAUUUGGUCAAAUCGUGUUUGGAUAAUGCUGGAAGGAUCAUAUUAACCACAAGACAAAAAAAUGUUGCCAAACAUUGUUCAAGAGAAGACAAGAACAUGUACUGUCUUGAAGGUCUGAAAGAUGCUGCUGCACUUGACCUCUUCAUAAAGAAGGUAUUCAAGGACAAUAUUGACAAACAUGAUUUAGUCCCAGCUAUGAUGGAGCAAGCAAGACUCAUCCUACAUAAAUGUGAUGGACUUCCCCUUGCAAUAUCGACUAUCGGUGGAUUCCUAGCCAGCAAGCCAAAGAAUGCUAUUGAAUGGAAGAAGAUGAAUGAUCAAAUUAGAACUGAAUUGGAGAUAAAUCCUGAACUUAGGGCAAUAAAAACAAUUCUUAUGAGGAGCUAUGAUGGUUUGCCAUACCAUCUCAAAUCUGUUUUCUUAUAUCUGUCCAUAUUUCCAGAAGAUCAUAGAAUUAGGUGGGGUCGCUUGGUGAGGCGGUGGAUUGCAGAGGGUUACUCAAGGGAUAUGCAUGGCAUGAAUGCAGUUGAACUUUGUCGGAGGUACUUUGAUGACCUCCUGGAUAGGAGUAUGAUCCUGCCAGGGGAAGGGAUAGACCAAUACAAACAGAAAAUCAGUUCUUGCCAACUUCAUGAUAUGAUCCGUGAAAUAUGCAUCUCAAAGGCUAGGGAGGAAAACCUUGUUUUCACAUUGGAGGAAGGAUGUUGUUUGAGCAACACACUAGGUGCAAUACGCCAUCUUGUCAUAGGCAGCAACUGGAAAAGGGAUAAACAUGUGCUGGAGAGCAUGCUAGACUUGUCACACGUACGGUCAUUGACCGUGUUUGGAGAGUGGAGACCAUUUUUCAUCUCUGAUAAUAUGAGGUUCCUGCGAGUGCUUGACUUGGAAGACACCGUAGGGCUAAGGGAUCAUCAUCUUGAGAAAAUCGGGAAGCUCCAUCACCUCAUGUACCUUUCUCUACGAGGAUGUCGCAGUAUUUUAUACCUGCCAAAUUCUUUGCAGAAUUUGAGGCACCUCCAAACACUUGAUGUUAAAGGUACACAGAUAAUUGAGUUGCCAAGAACAAUCACCAAUCUUAGCAAGUUACAGAACCUUCAUGCAGCUGGUUUUUGGAACAGAGGGCACGAUGUCAAGGGAGAGGACAUAGUAGAUAAAUAUUCAGGUUACAGAUAUUGUACUCCUACAUGUCAAACAUGCAGUGUUUUGUUGUCCAGAGGUCAUCUUUUCUUGAGACCACAAGUUUUAGAUGCUGGUUUGAAUAGGUAUGAUAUAUUCAAUCUACACUGCUUCAAGGAGAGGCGUCUAGAUGGUGUUAUACUUCCUAGAGGGAUUGGCAGAUUGAAGGCCCUUCACUCACUAGGUAUUGUUGAUGUUUCCGGGAGAAAUGGAAAUGCCACUAUAAAAGAGUUUGGAGAGCUUACUCAGCUACGUAAGCUUAAAGUGGGUGGUCUGAGCUACAGGAACAUCAAUGAGUUAUGGUCUGCCAUUGCUGGUCAUAAUCAGCUUCAAUCUUUGUCAGUUGAAGUGGGUAACCCGCAUGAAGAGAGGAAUGAGUUAGAUGGCUGUUUGGGUGAGGGUUUGUUGCCACCAAGCAGCCUUGAGAGCCUCACUCUGGCUGGUAAGCUAGUCACUGUAACAAAAUGGAUCCAUACGCUUCAGAAUCUCACCAAGUUGGUGCUAAGUUACAGCAGUUUGAAGCAAGAUGAUGAUGCCAUACAAGCCCUCGGGGUGCUACCAAAUAUUGCGGUUCUACGCCUGCAGAAUGACUCGUUCAGGGGGACACAGCUCCAUUUCCAGAGGUCAUCUUUCCCUAGCCUCAUGGUGCUGGAGCUCGAUUGGUUAGACAACCUCAAGUCGGUGCAGUUUGAAGAAGACACAAUGCGCAAGCUUGAGCUGCUACAAAUUGGUGUGUGCGUAGAGCUGAAGGUCAUCUCCGGGCUGCCAGCCCUUAAAAGCCUCAAGGAAAUUCAGUUGCUUAAAGUUGGUGACAGUUAUCUCACUAAAAUAUAUGAGGUGCAGAGGGAAGAGGUGGAGAGGCAGGUAGGGGAGCACGUGAGAGCGAACAUUAUUGACUGA
RNAcentral lists this ribosomal RNA (3912 nucleotides) under Triticum aestivum (bread wheat). Its description in RNAcentral is "partial small subunit ribosomal RNA". The record is from RNAcentral. Lineage: Eukaryota; Viridiplantae; Streptophyta; Magnoliopsida; Poales; Poaceae.